This 497-nucleotide ribosomal RNA is filed under the name uncultured bacterium. RNAcentral describes it as "partial 16S ribosomal RNA". It matches the Rfam family "Bacterial small subunit ribosomal RNA", at positions 28 to 507 of the family's 1533-position model. The record is from RNAcentral.
GAUGAACGCUGGCGGCGUGCCUAAUACAUGCAAGUCGAGCGAACGGACGAGAAGCUUGCUUCUCUGAUGUUAGCGGCGGACGGGUGAGUAACACGUGGAUAACCUACCUAUAAGACUGGGAUAACUUCGGGAAACCGGAGCUAAUACCGGAUAAUAUUUUGAACCGCAUGGUUCAAAAGUGAAAGACGGUCUUGCUGUCACUUAUAGAUGGAUCCGCGCUGCAUUAGCUAGUUGGUAAGGUAACGGCUUACCAAGGCAACGAUGCAUAGCCGACCUGAGAGGGUGGUCGGCCAGACUGGAACAGAGACACGGUCGAGACUCCGGCGGGAGGCAGCAGUAGGGAAUCUUCCGCAAGGGGGGGAAGCCUGACGGAGCAACGCGGCGUGAGUGAUGAAGGUCUUCGGAUCGGAAAGCUCUGUUAUUAGGGAAGUACAUAUGUGUAAGUACCUGUGCACAUCUUGACGGUACCUAAUCAGAAAGCCACGGCUAACUACGUG